AGUGAACGCUGGCGGUAGGCCUAACACAUGCAAGUCGAACGGCAGCACAGUAAGAGCUUGCUCUUACGGGUGGCGAGUGGCGGGCGGGUGAGGAAUACAUCGGAAUCUACUUUUUCGGGGGGGAUAACGUAGGGAAACUUACGCUAAUACCGCAUACGACCUACGGGUGAAAGCAGGGGAUCUUCGGAGCUUGCGCGGAUGAAUGAGCCGAUGUCGGGUUAGCUAGUUGGGGGGGUAAAGGCCCACCAAGGCGACGAUCCGUAGCUGGUCGGAGAGGCUGAUCAGCCACAUUGGAACUUGGACACGGUCCAGACUCCUACGGGAGGCAGCAGUGGGGAAUAUUGGACAAUGGGCGCAAGCCUGGUCCAGCCAUACCGCGUGUGUGGAGAAGACCUUCGGGUCGUGAAGCCCUUUUGUUGGGAAAGAACAGCAGCAGGUUAAUACCCCGCUGUUCUGACGGUACCCAAAGAAUAAGCACCGGCUAACUUCGUG
RNAcentral lists this ribosomal RNA (492 nucleotides) under uncultured bacterium. Its description in RNAcentral is "partial 16S ribosomal RNA". It matches the Rfam family "Bacterial small subunit ribosomal RNA", at positions 29 to 507 of the family's 1533-position model. The record is from RNAcentral.